RNAcentral lists this ribosomal RNA (600 nucleotides) under uncultured bacterium. RNAcentral describes it as "bacterial SSU rRNA". It matches the Rfam family "Bacterial small subunit ribosomal RNA", at positions 88 to 667 of the family's 1533-position model. The record is from RNAcentral.
AUGGCGACCGGCAAACGGGUGCGACACGUACAGAACCCUCCUUCAAGCGGGGCAUAGCCCAGAGAAAUUUGGAUUAAUACCCCAUAAUAUACCGAAGAGGCAUCUCUUUGUUAUUAAAGAAUUUAUUCACUUGAAGAUGGCUGUGCGGCUGAUUAGGUAGUUGGCGGGGUAACGGCCCACCAAGCCUGCGAUCAGUAACUGGUGUGAGAGCACGACCAGUCACACGGGCACUGAGAACACGGGCCCGACUCCUACGGGAGGCAGCAGUAAGGAAUAUUGGUCAAUGGACGCAAGUCUGAACCAGCCAUGCCGCGUGGAGGAUGAAGGUCCUCUGGAUUGUAAACUUCUUUUUAUAUGGGGACGAAAAAAAGGCCUUUUCCAGGUCCGGUCUUGACGGGUACCAUUAUGGAAUNAACACCGGUUAACUCGGUGCCCAACCCGGGGUAAAUAACGGGAGGGUGCAAAGUUUUCGGGAUUCCUGGGGUUUAAAGGGUGCGUUAGUGGGUUGGGAAACGUCNGGGUGAAAUCCCCGGGGCUAAAUUGGGGGAACGGGCCUUGGGUAUCUAUUNCAUUUUGGAAAACCGGGGGAGGNCGGGGAAA